Molecule: long non-coding RNA, 296 nt
Organism: Perca fluviatilis (European perch)
Lineage: Eukaryota; Metazoa; Chordata; Actinopteri; Perciformes; Percidae
Exons: 3
Source: RefSeq, a predicted model, not a curated record
AAAAAACAUACUGCGAGACUUGCGGCAGAUGGCACUGUUCAAACACACAGGGUCCCUGGAAGUUUUCCAUUCAUCAAUGCUAAAGUAUACGCAGAAAAGGCUUCACUUUUCAUAUGACGUAAUGCUGGCCAGAACCCAACUUGCGGUUAUGGACCACAACGCCAAUGUUGGCAAGGAGCAGGCCAAAACAAAGCAAGGACAACCGCAAUUUGCAUUUGCCUACUCAAAGGCCAGUCAUCAGUGGAUUGCUAGGCCAGUGUAUGAGAGAGGUGUGCAACUAUUCCGCCAAGAGCUCA